Molecule: ribosomal RNA, 492 nt
Filed under: uncultured bacterium
Lineage: Bacteria
Description: partial 16S ribosomal RNA
Rfam family: Bacterial small subunit ribosomal RNA
Source: RNAcentral
AGUGAACGCCGGCGGUAGGCCUAACACAUGCAAGUCGAACGGCAGCACAGUAAGAGCUUGCUCUUACGGGUGGCGAGUGGCGGACGGGUGAGGAAUACAUCGGAAUCUACUUUUUCGUGGGGGAUAACGUAGGGAAACUUACGCUAAUACCGCAUACGACCUACGGGUGAAAGCAGGGGAUCUUCGGACCUUGCGCGAUUGAAUGAGCCGAUGUCGGAUUAGCUAGUUGGCGGGGUAAAGGCCCACCAAGGCGACGAUCCGUAGCUGGUCUGAGAGGAUGAUCAGCCACACUGGAACUGGGACACGGUCCAGACUCCUACGGGAGGCAGCAGUGGGGAAUAUUGGACAAUGGGCGCAAGCCUGAUCCAGCCAUACCGCGUGGGUGAAGAAGGCCUUCGGGUUGUAAAGCCCUUUUGUUGGGAAAGAAAAGCAGCAGGUUAAUACCCCGCUGUUCUGACGGUACCCAAAGAAUAAGCACCGGCUAACUUCGUG